UUUAUACGUCGAAUUUCGGUCGCGUCGAAUGCAAUUCAAACAAUAAAUAAUGAAGCUUAAUGAUGUUUAAUUAUCUCAUUAUCUAUUGUCUUAAUUGCAUUCAACGCGAUCAAAAUUCGACGUAUAAA
Non-coding RNA from Paramuricea clavata, 128 nucleotides. NCBI's taxonomy places the organism in Eukaryota, Metazoa, Cnidaria, Anthozoa, Malacalcyonacea, Plexauridae. The record is from the annotation of a GenBank genome assembly.